Molecule: ribosomal RNA, 486 nt
Filed under: uncultured bacterium
Lineage: Bacteria
Description: partial 16S ribosomal RNA
Rfam family: Bacterial small subunit ribosomal RNA
Source: RNAcentral
AUUGAACGCUGGCGGCAUGCCUUACACAUGCAAGUCGAACGGCAGCGCGGACUUCGGUCUGGCGGCGAGUGGCGAACGGGUGAGUAAUACAUCGGAACGUACCCUGUUGUGGGGGAUAACUAGUCGAAAGAUUAGCUAAUACCGCAUACGACCUGAGGGUGAAAGUGGGGGACCGGAAACGGCCUCAUGCAGCAGGAGCGGCCGAUGUCUGAUUAGCUAGUUGGUGGGGUAAAGGCCCACCAAGGCGACGAUCAGUAGCUGGUCUGAGAGGACGAUCAGCCACACCGGGACUGAGACACGGCCCAGACUCCUACGGGAGGCAGCAGUGGGGAAUUUUGGACAAUGGGGGCAACCCUGAUCCAGCAAUGCCGCGUGUGUGAAGAAGGCCUUCGGGUUGUAAAGCACUUUUGUCCGGAAAGAAAUCGCGCUGGUUAAUACCUGGCGUGGAUGACGGUACCGGAAGAAUAAGCACCGGCUAACUACGUG